GACGAACGCUGGCGGCGUGCUUAACACAUGCAAGUCGAACGCUGAAGCACCAGCUUGCUGGUGUGGAUGAGUGGCGAACGGGUGAGUAAUACGUGAGUAACCUGCCCUUGACUCUGGGAUAAGCCCGGGAAACUGGGUCUAAUACUGGAUGCUACAUGUCACCGCAUGGUGGUGUGUGGAAAGGGUUUACUGGUCUUGUAUGGGCUCACGGCCUAUCAGCUUGUUGGUGAGGUAAUGGCUCACCAAGGCGACGACGGGUAGCCGGCCUGAGAGGGUGACCGGCCACACUGGGACUGAGACACGGCCCAGACUCCUACGGGAGGCAGCAGUGGGGAAUAUUGCACAAUGGGCGAAAGCCGGAUGCAGCGACGCCGCGUGAGGGAUGACGGCCUUCGGGUUGUAAACCUCUUUCAGCAGGGAAGAAGCCACAAGUGACGGUACCUGCAGAAGAAGCGCCGGCUAACUACGUG
This 470-nucleotide ribosomal RNA is filed under the name uncultured bacterium. RNAcentral describes it as "partial 16S ribosomal RNA". It matches the Rfam family "Bacterial small subunit ribosomal RNA", at positions 28 to 507 of the family's 1533-position model. The record is from RNAcentral.